RNAcentral lists this small RNA (560 nucleotides) under Pongo abelii (Sumatran orangutan). Its description in RNAcentral is "processed transcript". The record is from RNAcentral. Lineage: Eukaryota; Metazoa; Chordata; Mammalia; Primates; Hominidae.
AGCCUGGGCGCGUCCAUCGUCGAGUACCUUCUCCUCUGCCUCCCCCUCCCUCUGCUUCUAUCUCUCUCCAAUUGCCCUCCCUGGCCUGCGGCCGCCCGGUCCUCCGUCCCAGCCCGGUGUAGCCAGGCACCCGGGUUCGGCUUGCUCAGGUAUCUGUCCGCGACUGGGAAGCCACGGAGGGCCCGGAAAGUGGCACACUCUUGGAGCGCAAGCUUCCUACUCUCUCAUCGCUGAAUAACUAACGGGCAGGACUGGGUGGAACAGACAGCAUAUCUAGGUCAUUGAUGGGCUGCUGGGUGGAUGGAGCUGGAAAGUGAUGGGCACUGCUUUCUGGGGCUGCCCAGGUUCCUUCCGAGGGCUCUCUUUUCCUGGGCAGAGCGGGAAAGAGGAGGGGCAGGCCGGUUGCGAAACGCAAAUAGUGGAGAAUAGCGAUCCGGGGAGAAGCAGGUGUCUGUGGGGCCCAAGAGAAGCACCAUCUCGCAAAUGAUGAUCAAAGUCAACUGACAAACUGUCACGGAAUCUGCCAGACCUCACUCUGGCCUUGCCGCUUCUCUCCAGCU